AUGGCAACGCUGAUUCUCUGGCCUCUACGGUUGGUACAGACAUUCUGGAAUGGGCCUAGGCAAUGCUGGCCGCCUCGACACGGUGGUCUGGAAGGCUUUCCUUGGCUUCCUCCCAUUGUUUCGCGGCUAUACCGAGGUGCGGGUCGGGUCAGGGACGGGGAGAGCACCGCCUUCUGGGAGGAUGUCAAUACUAGUAUCCUGGCCAUCUGCUUCCCCGAGCUGUUCUCGCACUUGUGGCGCCCCCAUGCUUCUGUUGCUGCUGUCGACGACGAGAUCUCCGGCCACCUCCACCUCCACCUCAUGUUCUCAUCGGCUGUUGGGGCGGAGCUCUGUGCCUGA
Molecule: ribosomal RNA, 339 nt
Filed under: Triticum aestivum (bread wheat)
Lineage: Eukaryota; Viridiplantae; Streptophyta; Magnoliopsida; Poales; Poaceae
Description: partial small subunit ribosomal RNA
Source: RNAcentral